UCGACGAUUUUCCGGUUGAUCCUGCCGGAAGAUACUGCUAUUCGGAUCCGACUAAGCCAUGCGAGUCGAGAGGGGUAAGCCCUCGGCGAACUGCUCAGUAAUAUGUAGCUAACCUACCCUUAGGUCGGGGAUAACCUCGGGAAACUGAGUUCAAUACCCGAUAGGAAUUUAGCUCUGGAAUGACUAAAUUCCCAAAGCUCCGGUGCCUAAGGAUGGGGCUACAUCUCAUCAGCCUGUUGGGGGUGUAACGAACCCUCAAAGCUAUAACGGGUACGGGCCGUGAGAGCGGAAGCCCGGAGAUGGAUUCUGAGACAUGAAUCCAGGUCCUACGGGACGCAGCAGGCGCGAAACCUUCGCAAUGUGCUAACGCACGACGAGGGGAUCCGAAGUGCUACAGCACUGCUGUAGCUUUUGUCGAGUCCAAACAGCUCGGCGAAUAAGGGGUGGGUAAGACAGGUGCCAGCCGCCGCGGUAAUACCUGCGCCCCAAGUGGUAUCCAGUAUUAUUGGGCCUAAAGCGUCCGUAGCCGGUCUGGCAAGUCUUCGGUGAAAUUCACUAGUAAACUAGUGAGCUUGUCGGAGAUACUGCCAGACUUGGGACCGGGAGAGGGUAGGGGUACUCCUAGGGGAGGGGUAAAAUCCUAUAAUCCUAGGGGGACCACCGGUGGCGAAGGCGCCUACCUAGAACGGUUCCGACGGUGAGGAACGAAAGCUAGGGGAGCGAUCGGGAUUAGAUACCCCGGUAGUCCUAGCCGUAAACGAUGCCCGCUUGGUGUUGCAAUCUUCUCGCGAGAUUGCAGUGCCGGAAUGUAGAUGUUAAGCGGGCCGCCUGGGGAGUACGGCCGCAAGGUUGAAACUUAAGGGAAUUGGCGGGGGAGCACACAAGGGGUGGAGGCUGCGGUUCAAUUGGAGUCAACGCCGGGG
This 923-nucleotide ribosomal RNA is filed under the name uncultured archaeon. RNAcentral's name for it is "bacterial SSU rRNA". It matches the Rfam family "Archaeal small subunit ribosomal RNA", at positions 1 to 923 of the family's 1478-position model. The record is from RNAcentral.